RNAcentral lists this transfer RNA (73 nucleotides) under Trichonephila clavipes. It matches the Rfam family "tRNA". Rfam says of the family: Transfer RNA (tRNA) molecules are approximately 80 nucleotides in length. Their secondary structure includes four short double-helical elements and three loops (D, anti-codon, and T loops). Further hydrogen bonds mediate the characteristic L-shaped molecular structure. tRNAs have two regions of fundamental functional importance: the anti-codon, which is responsible for specific mRNA codon recognition, and the 3' end, to which the tRNAs corresponding amino acid is attached (by aminoacyl-tRNA synthetases). tRNAs cope with the degeneracy of the genetic code in two manners: having more than one tRNA (with a specific anti-codon) for a particular amino acid; and 'wobble' base-pairing, i.e. permitting non-standard base-pairing at the 3rd anti-codon position. The record is from Rfam by way of RNAcentral. Lineage: Eukaryota; Metazoa; Arthropoda; Arachnida; Araneae; Nephilidae.
GUCCCUGUAGCACAAUGGAUAGCGCGUUGGACCUCUAAUCCAAAGAUUGUGGGCUCGAAUCACACCUGGGAUA